AGAUACCCCACUAUGCCUGAGAAUAACCCAUGACAAACUCCACUUAUUUGUUCGCCAGAAGAUUACGGGUGAAAGCCUAAAACUCAAAAGACUUGACGGUAUUCCACCUACCUAGAGGAGCCUGUUCCAUAAUCGAUAACCCACGCUUAACCUGACCACCUCUUGAAAAAUCAGCCUAUAUACCGCCGUCACCAGCUUAUCUCUUGAAAGCCCGAACAUAAGCAUAAUAGUAACAUACUAAAAAGUCAGGUCAAGGUGUAGCCUAUGAGGUGGUGGUAAUGGGCUACAUUAUCUACCUAAGAUGCGCGAAUUCUGCCCUGAACCACGGGGCUAAUGAAGACGGAUUUAGUAGUAAACCAGACAAGAAAAUCUAGUUCAACGCAGCCCUGGAACAUGUACACACCGCCCGUCA
Molecule: ribosomal RNA, 412 nt
Filed under: Alopoglossus bicolor
Lineage: Eukaryota; Metazoa; Chordata; Lepidosauria; Squamata; Alopoglossidae
Description: partial small subunit ribosomal RNA
Rfam family: Bacterial small subunit ribosomal RNA
Source: RNAcentral